Molecule: ribosomal RNA, 460 nt
Filed under: uncultured bacterium
Lineage: Bacteria
Description: partial 16S ribosomal RNA
Rfam family: Bacterial small subunit ribosomal RNA
Source: RNAcentral
CCUACGGGAGGCAGCAGUGAGGAAUAUUGGUCAAUGGACGAGAGUCUGAACCAGCCAAGUAGCGUGAAGGAUGACUGCCCUAUGGGUUGUAAACUUCUUUUAUAUGGGAAUAAAACGUUCCACGUGUGGGAUUUUGUAUGUACCAUAUGAAUAAGGAUCGGCUAACUCCGUGCCAGCAGCCGCGGUAAUACGGAGGAUCCGAGCGUUAUCCGGAUUUAUUGGGUUUAAAGGGAGCGUAGGUGGAUUGUUAAGUCAGUUGUGAAAGUUUGCGGCUCAACCGUAAAAUUGCAGUUGAAACUGGCAGUCUUGAGUACAGUAGAGGUGGGCGGAAUUCGUGGUGUAGCGGUGAAAUGCUUAGAUAUCACGAAGAACUCCGAUUGCGAAGGCAGUUCACUGGACUGCAACUGACACUGAGGCUCGAAAGUGUGGGUAUCAAACAGGAUUAGAUACCUCGGUAGUC